CCUACGGGAGGCAGCAGUGAGGAAUAUUGGUCAAUGGACGAGAGUCUGAACCAGCCAAGUAGCGUGAAGGAUGACUGCCCUAUGGGUUGUAAACUUCUUUUAUAUGGGAAUAAAAUGUUCCACGUGUGGGAUUUUGUAUGUACCUUAUGAAUAAGGAUCGGCUAACUCCGUGCCAGCAGCCGCGGUAAUACGGAGGAUCCGAGCGUUAUCCGGAUUUAGUGGGUUUAAAGGGAGCGUAGGUGGAUUGUUAAGUCAGUUGUGAAAGUUUGCGGCUCAACCGUAAAAUUGCAGUUGAAACUGGCAGUCUUGAGUACAGUAGAGGUGGGCGGAAGUCGUGGUGUAGCGGUGAAAUGCUUAGAUAUCACGAAGAACUCCGAUUGCGAAGGCAGCUCACUGGACUGCAACUGACACUGAGGCUCGAAAGUGUGGGUAUCAAACAGGAUUAGAUACCCGAGUAGUC
Molecule: ribosomal RNA, 460 nt
Filed under: uncultured bacterium
Lineage: Bacteria
Description: partial 16S ribosomal RNA
Rfam family: Bacterial small subunit ribosomal RNA
Source: RNAcentral